Molecule: long non-coding RNA, 1501 nt
Organism: Pogoniulus pusillus (Red-fronted tinkerbird)
Lineage: Eukaryota; Metazoa; Chordata; Aves; Piciformes; Lybiidae
Exons: 2
Source: RefSeq, a predicted model, not a curated record
GGAGCCUGCAGAGCUGGACAUACUACUCCAGGCAGUGAGUCCUAGGCCAAGUGUGAAACUGUGUGUACUGGACUGUUGUGGGAAACCCAGGAAUUGCUUUCUAGCCACUCAUUUGGGCAUGAGGAAAAAUAUCUUCACUGACAAGAGUUAUCAAGCCAUGGAUCAGGCUGCCCUGGGAAGUGAUGGAGUCUUCAUUCCUGAAGGGAUUUAAAUGCCAUGUAGAUGUGGUGCUGAGAUGCAUGGUUUAAUGGUGGCCUGGCAGUGGUGGGUUAAUGGUUGGACUUGCUGAUCUGAAAGGUCUUGUUCAAGCUAAAUGAUUCUGUGAUUCUGUGAUUCACAUUUUGGAAGAUAUUGUAAGAAGCAGCAAAGUUUUAAGUCAAUCUAAGGAAAUGUUUGUAUUGUUUGCAUGUACUUUUUGCUCUUGGCAGCUGGAAAACAACAACAAAAAGGCAGUGAUCAGCACACAUGAUGCUCUGUAGAUUAAAUACAUACAGGGAGUAUGUCUGUAGAGCUGCACAUCCAGCUGUCAAACACAGCUCCCAAGGUACUGCCACCCCAGUGAAAAAGCCCUGUGUUGUGUUACCACUGCUAACUGCACAGCAAUAGGAAGGGCUGAGGCAUCUCUAAACCAACCCAAGAAAAGAAACCAAUCUCUUGUUUGGGUUCCUGGAGCUGCUGGAGGGCUGCUUAGCAUGCGGCUCACAGCUGGAUGUGUGCGCUGGCAUGAGGCAGUGCUGCACAAAGCUGUACCCCCAGGGCUGCGGUGGGGCGGGCGCGGAGGAAGGGCUCCCCAGGGUUUCUCCUGGCAACAGUGCAGGUUGCUGGGAAACAGCAUUGCUUAAAUGGGAAGAAACUUUACCCAACGGGCAGCCUCUUGAAUGCAAAUAAGGCUCGAAGGAGACUUCUCUUGCUGAUACUCUCAUUUCCCCCUCCCUGAGAUAAAAAAACCCAAACCCAGAAGCUCUUUAUUCAGAGGAUUAUGUGUGGAUGCUGCUAUGCAGAACCAUUGAAAGUUAUGUAAUAAAAGAGGGUAAUUAUUUCUAGGAAAAGGUAGUAGCAUGCAUGAUACCCAAGGAUUCAGCAACUCCUUGUCUUGUGAAGGGAUGGCAUAGCUGGAUUUGUCAGAUUCAUGUCACUAAAGAAACUUGCCACUUGGGAGAAUUAAACAGAAGAGUUAUAUGUGCAAAGGUUAAUUUUUUUUCACUAGAGAACAUUCUGUGUUAUUUUGUGUCAGCCCUGGGCUAUGUUGGACUUCUUCAGCUAAUAGUGCCCAUUUAUAUUUAGUACCAUUAUUGGGUGAAUGAUAUUGACUUGACAUUUGGGUAAUGUUGUGAGUUUUGACUCGGAAGGCUGAGAGAAACACCUCAGUUUCUUUACUUGAUUCCCAUGCUGCUAUUUAAAGUGGUUUUUUUCCUUUCUUGAUUGCUGAAGAUCCAUGGUGUCAGCUAUGUCCUCAGUUGUGUCUGUGUAACUCAACUAAAUAAAUAUUCUUCUUUUUCAA